GACGAACGCUGGCGGCGUGCUUAACACAUGCAAGUCGAACGGAAAGGCCCUGCUUUUGUGGGGUGCUCGAAUGGCGAACGGGUGAGUAACACGUGAGUAACCUGCCCUUGACUUUGGGAUAACUUCAGGAAACUGGGGCUAAUACCGGAUAGGAGCUCCUGCUGCAUGGUGGGGGUUGGAAAGUUUCGGCGGUUGGGGAUGGACUCGCGGCUUAUCAGCUUGUUGGUGGGGUAGUGGCUUACCAAGGCUUUGACGGGUAGCCGGCCUGAGAGGGUGACCGGCCACAUUGGGACUGAGAUACGGCCCAGACUCCUACGGGAGGCAGCGGUGGGGAAUAUUGCACAAUGGGCGGAAGCCUGAUGCAGCAACGCCGCGUGCGGGAUGACGGCCUUCGGGUUGUAAACCGCUUUCGCCUGUGACGAAGCGUGAGUGACGGUAAUGAGUAAAGAAGCACCGGCUAACUACGUG
Molecule: ribosomal RNA, 468 nt
Filed under: uncultured bacterium
Lineage: Bacteria
Description: partial 16S ribosomal RNA
Rfam family: Bacterial small subunit ribosomal RNA
Source: RNAcentral